RNAcentral lists this long non-coding RNA (268 nucleotides) under Elaeis guineensis (African oil palm). RNAcentral describes it as "long non-coding RNA (EGUI_LNC041759)". The record is from RNAcentral. Lineage: Eukaryota; Viridiplantae; Streptophyta; Magnoliopsida; Arecales; Arecaceae.
GCUCAUGUGCCAUCUAUGUGGAUUCUAGUACCCCCUAAGAAAUUAAAGUAAUUCUUCGAAUUGGAGGUAGAGGCUAUCGAUUCGUAUGAAAUAGUGAGAAAGCUUUUAGACUAAAGUCCAUAUCUUUAGGCUUAAUAAAUUUAUAUACUAAUUAGGUUUUAAUUUUUCUUUAUGUGUGCAGAUAUGGCCUCAGACUUAUUGCUCCGAUCACUGUUAGACAGUGAGAAGUUGACGGGAUCCAAUUUUGAUAACUGGUAUCGAAAGCUUA